This 1606-nucleotide long non-coding RNA is filed under the name Homo sapiens (human). RNAcentral describes it as "uncharacterized LOC105379109, transcript variant 7 (LOC105379109)". Lineage: Eukaryota; Metazoa; Chordata; Mammalia; Primates; Hominidae. The record is from RNAcentral.
UUGUAUGCCGGAAGGGAUAAAUCUGGGGCUGAGUACAAGCAAAACAAGACCAAAGGAAGCUACCUGAGCAGGUAUUCCAGAUACUCAUGUCAUACACCAAGGUUGUACCAGUGCCCCUUUCUCUGUGACACAUCCAUCCACUGGAAACUUUCGUACAACUAGCUGAAAGAAGAGAAACAUCCUAUUUCAUGUCACUGGAGCCCUAAUGAUCGCAGCCAUUUCAGGAAAUGCCAUCAAUUACAGUGAGGAGCUCAUUCAGAAGUGAAAGAUGAGUUCCAUUCUCUGUUACUUAGAGGACAAUAGAUUAUAUUGGAUGUAGAUGAAGUUUGGGCAGAAUCAGGGAUCAAUGGCUCCAUCUAAAUUGUUGCACCAAAACACAGACAUACACCUGCUUUUAGAUUUGAAGAGUGAAUCCUCUCUGGAAAAUGUAGCAACUACUCAAAAAAGGUUGGAGGACCAACACUUCUAAGAAGCAGGAGGAACACAAUUAUUUCUGGAAAGAGUAUUACACUCAGUAUUCUGCAUUUCAUAUGGCAUUUCAAAGUCCUGAGAAUGACUCUCCGUAGUCUUCUAUGUACUAAUUAAACAUGAACAUGUGGUAAACAACAUGGACUAUUCCAGUGGACAGAAAGCGUCAAGUUAAAAUGUUUAAGUGCCCCAUAUUUUUCUAAGUAUUCUUAUCCAGUUGGUCUGACUGGUCAUUAUCUGUUUUGUAAAACUUCCCAAACAACUCAUCAAUAUUUAAAUAGCUAUCCAAAUUAUAAACUUCAAAUAGCAGAAUCCAAAUGUCAUUUAUGCAUAAUUCAAAAGAACUUUGCUGAAAACAAUCUUUGGAUUACAAUUGCUCUCUAAUCCACCUCUUGAAUUUCUACAUAAGAAUUCAAUGCCAAUGCAAUUCAAAUCAAUUCAUUCAUGGUUGAUGUUAAAACUUCCUUUAAGAGGAUAGUAUGGCAGAAACAAAACUGAAUUUGAACAAGAGGGAAACUGCAGAAGAUAAACAUUUUUUCUGUAGAAAGUUUCCAACUUUUACAUUUUUGUGGUAAUUUUUAACAUUAUAGGUAUAAUUAAAUUAUCACUAAAGUUAUAUCUAUUAAUCCUAAGUGGUUUAAAAUAAUUUCUCUGUUCAAACUGAUGCAGCUCGCUAUUACAAUUUAAUAUAAUUUUUUCAAACUAUAAUUGAUUUCUAAGACUAGUAAAAUUUUUGAGCUACCAUUAACCCCAAAAUAUCUGGAAAAAGAAAAUCAUCAUAGGUAACUCCUGAUGACUCCUACCUCUUUCAGUCACAUACUUAGCAUUAUCUGCUGUACAGGUUUAAAGAAUGUUGGUCACAGGAUUGAAGUGAAUAUUUCAUUUAUGUGUAGCCAAAAUAUUAUCAUAUGAAGCCCAAAAGAAGAGUAAAAUACAUCCUUGUGAUAUUAUUAACAUGACUUUGUGCCAGACAAAGCAUAGUUACUCUACAGAUGGAUUAUGAAUAGAGAAAAAGUGUGUAGUUGAAUUCUUUGGAAUUAUGGACUAUAUUCCAUAAAUCCCAGAUGGAGUCACUAUGAUUAAUGUUACCUCAAUGAAUACAAAAUGAAUAAAUAAUUAUCCUCCACUUACUGUAAAG